RNAcentral lists this long non-coding RNA (1480 nucleotides) under Homo sapiens (human). RNAcentral describes it as "HSALNT0102195". The record is from RNAcentral. Lineage: Eukaryota; Metazoa; Chordata; Mammalia; Primates; Hominidae.
GGCUUAAAGGAAUAUUGUUUCCCUGUUUGGAUCACCCAGGCAUCACCCAGCAUGAGUCCUAUGGGCAACAUCCUACCUGGGAUGUGUCACAUGCCAUUCUUCUGAUUUUCAUGAAUAUCCUCUAAAAGGCAGCUAAGCACUCGCUGUCUUCUUCCUUUUGCCUCAUCAAGCACGGGGGACGCUGGAAGGAAGAGUAUUUGUACAGUUGAGCCGAAAUGCCUGUUCUAACAAAGAGAGCCUGGGUGGGACUGCCAAGAUGAAUAGACAUAAUCCUCGAUCUAACCACUUCACAGUUUAUCAUCGGAGUCAAGUUUGCAGAUAAACAAUUGCCAUGCAACUUUCAAGAAAAUGGUGCCUGAGAUGAGCAAGGUCAGCAGACAAGAAGUGAGGUCAAUGUCAGGUUUCCAUGCCAGCAGCGGGAACUCUGGAUACAGUGGAGAGUCACAGCUGGUCAAACCCUGAACCGCUUGCUCCUUGAAAUGGCCAGAGAGGCCCAUCCCAGAGCCAUCUCAUCAUCUCUCCUCAGACAGGAAACCGAGAAGGAAAACAAUCAGCUCUGUUCUCUCUGGGCCGAGGGAGUGAGCUGUAAUGAGGGAGCACAGGAACGCAUUGGGCGCCCUCAGACCUGAACACACAGGUUAGCACCACCUGCCUGGCUGACCUGGCUCACAGUUGAGAAUAACUCAUCCAGGGUUGUUGAAUGGUGGAGGAUCUUCCAAAAUCAGCAGCUAGGAGGUCGAGAACCCUUCAUGCCAUACUAAGAAGUUUCAUGCUAGGCAAAGAAGAGUGACAAGGUAUUUCAACAGGUGAAUGAUAGGUACACAAAGAAGGAUUACCACAGGAAAUCCAGAGAGGCUUUAGAAGACGAGCUUGCGUUGAGAUAGAAGCCGGAAGCCCACUUAGCCAACUGCCUCCAUGGGACUUGGCAUGAGGCAGGCUUAUGACAGUAAAUGCUACACUGCCCUCAGUGAAAAAGAGAAUUUGGCAUUCAUUCUUCUGAACCCGCCAUCCCUCAGCCUUGGCGCCUGGGAAUUCUGCGAAUCGUUGCCUGUGGCAGUGACACUGAUUUGUAUCUGGGUAUGAACUUAAAUGAAAACAUGAAUUGAACUCAUUACUUGAGGAAGGAAACACUGCCAAAUUUAACAGGAUGAAAUUCCAGCAGGGUGUAAGGUUUUAUGGGGCUACAGUGGAAUAUCUCAUAGAAAGGUUUCCAGUUCAUAAAACACUUUCAAAACAUGCUCGGCCCUUUUAAGUUGAAGGGACAUUAUCAUUUCUAUCUAUGGCAUUUCUCUGCAAAUUGAACUCAAAUAUCCUUUGGGCUGACUACACAGAGAACAGAAGAAAGAAGUGGAAGAAACUUGGACUGAAGAUUGCCUCCCUGAAAAGGUUUUCUUCAGGCAGAAUUAGGAACUGCUUUUGCAAUAAGUAAAGUCAAUGAAGAAAGUAAGAGGAUUGCAAAGGUUUCCCCCGCUGAUUCUGC